AUGGAGACAUGCAUAUCUUCUCUGCCGGAAGUGCAAACCGAGGAAGAAGUUGCUGGCGGAGCCCUCAAGAAAUGGCCAGAAAGAGCAUCUGCAGUUCCGCCGAGAAUAACCCGAGGUUCAGUUUCAGGCAUCAACCCUGAGAAGUUCGAAGAGGACAAUAAGUUGUGGGCAGAGCGAGCGGGCCACUACAAGAAACUGAUCCCGCCACUGGCCAAGGGGAGAUACAGGAACGUGAUGGACAUGAAUGCGGGGAUGGGGGGUUUCGCCGCUGCGCUGAUGGAGUAUCCGCUCUGGGUGAUGAACGUGGUGCCUUUAGGUUCUUCUCCUGAUGCCCUUGGUGUCAUCUACGAUUGUGGGUUUAUUGGAACGUACCAUGAUUGGUGUGAGGCUUUCUCGACGUAUCCCAGGACGUAUGACCUCAUCCACGCUGAUAAAGUGUUCAGCUUCUAUCAGGAUAGGUGUGACAUAACAUACAUUCUCCUGGAGAUGGACCGGAUUCUGCGGCCUGAGAGGACGGUGAUCUUCAGGGACACCGUGGAGAUGUUAGUGAAGAUACAAGCCAUCACCAAUGGCAUGAGAUGGAAGAGCCAGAUCAUGGAUCAUGAAUCCGGGCCGUUCAACCCUGAGAAGAUCCUUGUGGCCGUCAAAACUUACUGGACCGGGGAGCCUGCCCAAAAGCAGCAAUAG
This 687-nucleotide ribosomal RNA is filed under the name Triticum aestivum (bread wheat). RNAcentral describes it as "partial small subunit ribosomal RNA". Lineage: Eukaryota; Viridiplantae; Streptophyta; Magnoliopsida; Poales; Poaceae. The record is from RNAcentral.